GUUUAUAUAAUUUAAAUAAGAUAUUAGACUGUGACUCUGACCAUGAGAGUUAAAACCUCUUUAUAAACC
This 69-nucleotide transfer RNA is filed under the name Aneides flavipunctatus (black salamander). RNAcentral describes it as "tRNA-His". It matches the Rfam family "tRNA". From Rfam's summary of the family: Transfer RNA (tRNA) molecules are approximately 80 nucleotides in length. The record is from RNAcentral. Lineage: Eukaryota; Metazoa; Chordata; Amphibia; Caudata; Plethodontidae.